GAUGAACGCUAGCUACAGGCUUAACACAUGCAAGUCGAGGGGAAACGACAUCGAAAGCUUGCUUUUGAUGGGCGUCGACCGGCGCACGGGUGAGUAACGCGUAUCCAACCUGCCCACCACUUGGGGAUAACCUUGCGAAAGUAAGACUAAUACCCAAUGACGUCUCUAGAAGACAUCUGAAAGAGAUUAAAGAUUUAUCGGUGAUGGAUGGGGAUGCGUCUGAUUAGCUUGUUGGCGGGGUAACGGCCCACCAAGGCGACGAUCAGUAGGGGUUCUGAGAGGAAGGUCCCCCACAGUGGAACUGAGACACGGUCCAAACUCAUACGGGAGGCAGCAGUGAGGAAUAUUGGUCAAUGGACGGGAGUCUGAACCAGCCAAGUAGCGUGCAGGAUGACGGCCCUAUGGGUUGUAAACUGCUUUUAUAAGGGAAUAAAGUGAGUCUCGUGAGACUUUUUGCAUGUACCUUAUGAAUAAGGACCGGCUAAUUCCGUG
Molecule: ribosomal RNA, 492 nt
Filed under: uncultured bacterium
Lineage: Bacteria
Description: partial 16S ribosomal RNA
Rfam family: Bacterial small subunit ribosomal RNA
Source: RNAcentral